AUAUCUCUCCGUACGGGAAGGAUGAGAAGCUUUGACUAAGGUUCGAUUCGAGCGCAGCGAGAAAGCGUUGCCGCAGGCAACGACCCGAAGGGUGAGGAGCGGAGCGACGAAUAAUCCCUCCCCCACCACCA
Molecule: small RNA, 131 nt
Filed under: Salmonella enterica subsp. enterica serovar Heidelberg
Lineage: Bacteria; Pseudomonadati; Pseudomonadota; Gammaproteobacteria; Enterobacterales; Enterobacteriaceae
Also listed under: 14 other names
Description: RtT sRNA
Rfam family: RtT RNA
About the family: This family represents a bacterial cis-regulatory element known as RtT RNA.
Source: RNAcentral